UCUCCAGCUAUUUUUGGACUACAAUUCCCAUCAUCCCUGACCACUUGCUAGCUAAGGAUGAUGUGAGUUGUAGUCCAAAAACAGCUGGAGA
Molecule: non-coding RNA, 91 nt
Organism: Podarcis lilfordi (Lilford's wall lizard)
Lineage: Eukaryota; Metazoa; Chordata; Lepidosauria; Squamata; Lacertidae
Source: the annotation of a GenBank genome assembly